GAAUCGGCAGAUCCAGUCUCUUGAAUUAAAUAGCUAAAUAAUGAGGAUGAUUUUAUGAUAUGCUCUAGUGUGUUGUUACACAAAUCUCAUAACUAAUGAAAAGGGCUUUACCGUCAUUGGCGACCUCUAGAGUGUGUGUGGUGACGUCACAGGACCUCAGAGCGCGCGCAGCCGAUGACGUCAUCACAGAGAAGACGCGCCCGAUGUGUCUGAGUCUGGAGUAAAAGUCUUAAAUCUAAUGUCUCGUGAGUGUCCUUUGACAUCCGCAUCAUCAAACAGAGGGGUUUCCAUGGCAACGGCCCCCACAGCAGCUGUGUGUGAGGAUGCUCUCUCAGCAUCUGAUGCUCUCCUCCCAGAGGACAAACGCAUCCAGACGUGAAGAUGUUAAAGUGCUCUGCGUGGAUUAAACACACGGAGGGUCAGACGAAGCCCCAGACACACAGAGGAAUCACAAACUACAGCUCAACUGAGGAAGAGCUGAGGAAUUCUUCAUCAGUCAGAGUUAGACCUCAACACAAUGAGUAUGCUGGGAAAUAAUGCUGUAGAAAGAAGAACAUACAAACUGCGGUUAAACUUCACUAAAU
This is a long non-coding RNA of Carassius auratus (goldfish), 584 nucleotides long. RefSeq lists it as uncharacterized. NCBI's taxonomy places the organism in Eukaryota, Metazoa, Chordata, Actinopteri, Cypriniformes, Cyprinidae. The record is from RefSeq and is a predicted model, not a curated record. The transcript has 3 exons.